RNAcentral lists this ribosomal RNA (447 nucleotides) under uncultured bacterium. RNAcentral describes it as "partial 16S ribosomal RNA". It matches the Rfam family "Bacterial small subunit ribosomal RNA", at positions 330 to 793 of the family's 1533-position model. The record is from RNAcentral.
UCCAGACUCCUACGGGAGGCAGCAGUGGGGGAUAUUGCACAAUGGGGGGAACCCUGAUGCAGCGACGCCGCGUGGGUGAAGGAGCGUUUCGGCGCGUAAAGCCCUAUCGGCAGGGAAGAAGGAGGACGGUACCUGACUAAGAAGCCCCGGCUAACUACGUGCCAGCAGCCGCGGUAAUACGUAGGGGGCAAGCGUUAUCCGGAUUUACUGGGUGUAAAGGGGGCGCAGACGGCAGCGCAAGCCAGGAGUGAAAGCCCGGGGCCCAACCCCGGGACUGCUCUGGAAACUGCGGCGCUGGAGUGCAGGAGGGGCAGGCGGAAUUCCUGGUGUAGCGGUGAAAUGCGUAGAUAUCAGGAGGAACACCGGUGGCGAAGGCGGCCUGCUGGACUGCAACUGACGUUGAGGCCCGAAAGCGUGGGGAGCAAACAGGAUUAGAUACCCCGGUAG